Molecule: ribosomal RNA, 252 nt
Filed under: uncultured Sulfobacillus sp.
Lineage: Bacteria; Bacillati; Bacillota; Clostridia; Eubacteriales; Clostridiales Family XVII. Incertae Sedis
Description: partial 16S ribosomal RNA
Rfam family: Bacterial small subunit ribosomal RNA
Source: RNAcentral
GACGUAGGGGGCAAGCGUUGUCCGGAAUUACUGGGCGUAAAGGGCGUGUAGGCGGUGGGUCACGUAGCGGUUGGCAGCCGCCGGCUUAACCGGCGGACGGCGGCUAAACGGGCGCACUGGAGGGCAGGAGAGGUGCACGGAAUUCCUGGUGGAGCGGUGAAAUGCGUAGAGAUCAGGAAGAACACCCGUGGCGAAGGCGGUGCACUGGCCUGGCCCUGACGCUGAGGCGCGACAGCGUGGGGAGCGAACGGG